CAUAUUAUUAAGCGGAGGAAAAGAAACUAACUAGGAUUCCCUUAGUAGCGGCGAGCGAAGAGGGAAAAGACCGAGAUGAAAAUCCCUUCGGGGAGUUGUAAUCUGAGCAAUGUUGAGUGUUCAGUGAGUGUAAGUCACAUGGAAAUGUGUACCGGGGAGGGUGAAAGUCCCGUCCAACACUCACAGGAAUUUCUCGUACGACAUUGUUUCAACCGAGUCGGGUAGCUUGAGAA
Molecule: ribosomal RNA, 233 nt
Filed under: Lithophyllum sp.
Lineage: Eukaryota; Rhodophyta; Florideophyceae; Corallinales; Lithophyllaceae
Description: partial 28S ribosomal RNA
Rfam family: Eukaryotic large subunit ribosomal RNA
Source: RNAcentral